AGCAGUGUAGCAUAGUGGUAAGGAGCUGGGCUUGUAAUCAAAAGGUUGCUGGUUCGAUUCCCCACUGGGG
Megalops atlanticus (tarpon) is the source of this 70-nucleotide non-coding RNA. The record is from the annotation of a GenBank genome assembly. Lineage: Eukaryota; Metazoa; Chordata; Actinopteri; Elopiformes; Megalopidae.